CCCCUAGAUGUUCUGGGCCGCACGCGCGCUACACUGAACAGUUCAACAAGUCUUAACCUUGGCCGACAGGCCCGGGCAAUCUUUGAACGCUGGUCGUGAUGGGGAUAGACUUUUGCAAUUUUUGGUCUUCAACGAGGAAUUCCUAGUAAACGCAAGUCAUCAACUUGCAUUGAUUACGUCCCUGCCCUUUGUACACACCGCCCGUCGCACCUACCGAUUGAAUGGUCCGGUGAAGCCUCCGGAUUGGCGCGCACCUCGGUGCCGCCGAGAAGUUGGCUAAACCUUNCNAUUUAANGGAAGGUGAANUCGUANCA
Molecule: ribosomal RNA, 314 nt
Filed under: uncultured eukaryote
Lineage: Eukaryota
Description: partial 18S ribosomal RNA
Rfam family: Eukaryotic small subunit ribosomal RNA
Source: RNAcentral